Long non-coding RNA from Drosophila miranda, 932 nucleotides. RefSeq lists it as uncharacterized. The transcript is spliced from 3 exons. The record is from RefSeq and is a predicted model, not a curated record. Lineage: Eukaryota; Metazoa; Arthropoda; Insecta; Diptera; Drosophilidae.
UGGGUCCUAAUGUUAGGACCCGCCAUAGAACAGCUUUUUGGUCGCUCAUGCAACAUCUUGGUAUUGUAUAGUCUUUGUUAGUACGUUUGUGGGCGUAGCCACCAGCCAACAGGAAAAUACCUUUUCCGAUCAUUAUAACAACAGAGGUUGUUUUGUUCGAGAAUAAAAUGCAUAAAAUAAAAAUUAUAGGUCACGUUUGUGGGUUCCAUUCGGUGCAGAGGACUUGGAAGCUAAAAGGUUACUCCGAACACUCAACCCCUUCGCACGCACGCACUCACUUUCCUCUGGGUAGUCGGCCUUCCUUGCAUUUUUAAAGCACCGCGCUGGCAGCCAUCAAUUUAUCAUGCUGUUGUGUUGGCCAUAUAAGCGGAAGUUGUACAACCCAGCACUACAUGCCCUGCCAGCCGUAUGAGCAGCAACAAUACCAUCAGGAGCAGGCAGCCGCAGCGGCAGGCACGAGAUGGAGAAGGAAGUCGAAGACACAACCCCACUUUCGGGGGGCGGGGGAUGAGUGUCACAUCUAUUUUCAACAUUGUGCACACAUUUCAUUCAUUGAGUGCAUGUCGGGCCCGAGACCAGAACGAGAAUAUUUACAACCAUAGAGGCAUUUAUGCGCUUUUAUGAGAUUUUAUGGGACAUUUAAAAAAGACAGUUGGUUAUUUUUUUACUAAGUUGAUAAUUAUCUUGUGGGUGGAUGUGCACGUGUGUGUGUGCAAUCAAAACGCAAUGAAUUCAAUUGAAAAUUUUCCAUUUCUUCUUCAAUCUGAAGUUAUUUACAGCUUGACUCCAGUCCUUCAGUCCAGGACGGGGAGGGGGAGGGGAGCGAGCAAUGGAAAAGUGCAGCAAUUGGGCAGUCGUCGAACUUUUUGCACUCGAUAUGUGACGACAAGGACAUCGCUGUGCUUUUCACUCGCCUCCCCGAAACUGAUAAA